GAUGAAGAACGUAGCGAAAUGCGAUAAGUAAUGUGAAUUGCAGAAUUCAGUGAAUCAUCGAAUCUUUGAACGCACAUUGCGCCCGCCAGUAUUAUGGCGGGCAUGCCUGUCCGAGCGUCAUUUCAACCCUCGAACCCCUCCGGGGGGUCGGCGUUGGGGAUCGGCCCUUUCACCGGGUGCCGGCCCCUAAAUACAGUGGCGGUCUCGCCGCAGCCUCUCAUGCGCAGUAGUUUGCACACUCGCACCGGGAGCGCGGCGCGUCCUCGUCCGUAAAACACCCCAAACUUCUGAAAUGUUGACCUCGGAUCAGGUAGGAAUACCCGCUGAACUUAAGCAUAUCAAUAAGCGGAGGA
Molecule: unclassified non-coding RNA, 353 nt
Filed under: soil metagenome
Description: partial contains 5.8S ribosomal RNA, internal transcribed spacer 2, and large subunit ribosomal RNA
Rfam family: 5.8S ribosomal RNA (bases 1-120)
Source: RNAcentral